AUUGAACGCUGGCGGCAGGCCUAACACAUGCAAGUCGAACGAGUGGCGGACGGGUGAGUAAUGUCUGGGAAACUGCCCGAUGGAGGGGGAUAACUAUUGGAAACGAUAGCUAAUACCGCAUACCAUCAGAUGUGCCAAGAGGGGAUUAGCUAGUAGGUGGGGUAACGGCUCACCUAGGAGACGAUCCCUAGCUGGUCUGAGAGGAUGACCCGCCACACUGGAACUGAGACACUGUCCAGACUCCUACGGGAGGCAGCAGUGGGGAAUAUUGCACAAUGGGCGCAAGCCUGAUGCAGCCAUGCCGCGUGUAUGAAGAAGGCCUUCGGGUUGUAAAGUACUUUCAGCGGGGAGGCGUUACCCGCAGAAGAAGCACCGGCUAACUCCGUGCCAGCAGCCGCGGUAAUUC
RNAcentral lists this ribosomal RNA (406 nucleotides) under uncultured bacterium. Its description in RNAcentral is "partial 16S ribosomal RNA". It matches the Rfam family "Bacterial small subunit ribosomal RNA", at positions 30 to 526 of the family's 1533-position model. The record is from RNAcentral.